CGGUGUAAUGAAUAUACCUCUGAUUGUGUUUACACCAUGUCGUCAUGUUGUAAUAUUUGCCACAUACGUUUCUUUACAAAGCUCCUGUAUUUAAUGUAAGUUAAAGUUUUGAGUACGUGUGUUUUUGUAAUGUGGUCUUUGCCAAAUAACAUCUAGGUUACUGCCUAUUAUUGCAAUACAUAUUAUUAGACCUACAAGACCUAGACCUUUUGCUUUUUGCUGAUCAACCAUACACUUUAGCCAUUAUGGUGAUUAUUCAGGUAGUUCCAUGGCCCACAGAGUUGCUUCAAUUCUGUCUUCCUAGAGAUGUGCAGGUGUCAGAUGGAUGUGCAGGUGUCUUCAAAGGUUGAACAAUAGCCUGAGGCAAGAGUUUGUGGACGGGAUCCUUUUCCAUGGGACAAUGUGUAAACAUCUCCACCUGGUCCAGUCCAGAUGCUGUGGUGCCAGUACGAGCCACUACCCAUGUAUCUGGUUCUGUAGUCCUGGCAACCUCCUGCAUUACCUAUGGACCCUGGGGAAUGGAUUCGGAGUCCUUGGAUCCACUCCAGCACUUUUCAGAGAGAUCAGUGUUUUCGGUGGCAAAGAUGGCAGCAGGCCAACAUGACAAGCUGGCCAAUCAGGGGACAGCUGAUGUCCCUCUCAAAUGGCAGGUUCCAGAGAGGAUGAAGCAUCCAACUAGACAGCAGUGAUGUGUGAGCGUUGGGACUUAAUCUGUGUUUGGGAAUCUGCCCCCGUAGCCUAGAGUAUACGUAGAUGCUUGUUUAAUUAACGUUCUGACUAAAUAUUUCUACAUGCCUUUGUUGCUUUUUGUAAUAUCAACAUGCUUGAUAGUGGUUUUCCUCUCACCCUCAGAUGGUCUUUUGGAAUCUAUACGUCUAUAUGAAUUGAUCACAUUGGGUAACUGUUACCUUGCACAUAUCUGAUUUAAAGUAAUUUUGCAAAUAUACCUCACCAAUAAGCUAACAAAAUUUAGGGUGACCAGUUUUAGUGGAGGACCCCUGUAAAUCUGUCCUUCCCUGGCCAAAAAGUCUGUAUAAUAUUCUCAUUAAACGAAAAUGUAUAUUCAAUCACUCCACAGCCAAGUAAACCUGUUAUUAGCUGUGUACCGCCCCCAUGUUGUGGCCACCUAUUUAAUGUCAUUGGGCUCUCAUUCUGUGCUAUUCAGAUCUCUCAGGUAUGACCUGAUGAAGUACUGCUGGAUGUGGAGCUUCAAGGACCGGCCUGUGUUCUCCGCCAUCAUCAAGCUUCUGAAGUCCUACACAUACCUGAUACUAGACAUCUACAUCCCAGAGGGCAUAGACAUCUUUGACUACACCAAGAGGGCAGGUGUGCUCCUCUAAAUAUCUAGCCUAAAGCAUCACAUUCAUGAAUGAAGAGGCUAAAAGCAAGCAGGGGCAGACUUGUCCAUUUUUAGCUCAUUGAGCUUAACUUUUUUUUGUUCAAAACUAUUAUCUGGCGAUAAAUUAGAAAUUGGCCAGUGAGGGGGGCCUCGAAAAUAAAUGGCCUGGUGUGAUAAACGCCAGGGCUGAUUUCUGGUCCCAGUCUGCCCCUGAAAGCAAGGAUUUGGUCCCUUACAAAGCAUUGCUGUAGUUGAUUCUAGGUUCAGGUGUACUGUACUGUGGCAUCAACAUCAAGAGAUUUUAUUAAACCUAGAUUAAAUGUUGUAAAUGACUUAACAUAAGGGUGUGUAAGUAUUGUAUGGCGAAUGCAACCUAUAGCCUUAUUGUAAGAUUGUACAAAUGUUAUAGAACACUGGGGAUUUUUGGAUGAGUGAGAAUUUCAGCACAAAAUGGAUGUCAGGAAGAAAAAUCUUCUAAUGUUAUUGUCACGUCACAAUUGUGUCAUCUUGUCAUGAAACCAGGCAAGUCAUUAUAAAUCACCACGUUUUAUUGUCAAAAGGUACAGAAUAAAAAAUAGAUCUUCAUAAGACGAUUACUGGUUUAUAAUUGGGUGAGUAUCACUCUUGUGCAUUGAACUGUAGUAAUGAGGCAUGUAAUUGUGGUCAUACAGUUGAAGUCACUGAUCAUGCUACGCAAAAUUGGCCUUUAAGUGUACUUCACUCCCUCUACGCUGUUGAUUUUGUUCAUAAAAUUGCUUGUCAUUGACCAUGAUGUUAACAAACCAGCAGUUUGGACCACGUGGAGGUGACAUUUAUAGGUGUACUGUAGAGUUGCUGUUGUCAGUCUCAAGACAUUUCAAAACAAACUCGUCACAUUGUCUCCAUCACUCACACACACAUCUAAAAUCCUAAAGCGAGGCACAAACCGCCAUUUUCAUAACACACCCAGUCAUGCGGAAAUGGAAUAAGUCCUUGCUCGACCGACUGGAUCAAGAACAGGAAUAUCUAGAUAUUUUCACACUACUGAGCGGAGCCGAACCAAGCCAAGAUGAGCAGGACUAGUUACACAUAAACCAUAGUUACUGGAACAGUGCUGGAAAGGACAGCAGGAAAGGAAAUGAUCCAAGCCAGCACAGUUCGGGCCGGCACUA
Long non-coding RNA from Oncorhynchus nerka (sockeye salmon), 2490 nucleotides. RefSeq lists it as uncharacterized. NCBI's taxonomy places the organism in Eukaryota, Metazoa, Chordata, Actinopteri, Salmoniformes, Salmonidae. The transcript is spliced from 3 exons. The record is from RefSeq and is a predicted model, not a curated record.